GUGGAUUUGGACAUGGGCGAAAGCUGAUCCAUGCCAUGCCGCGUGCAGGAUGAAGGCCUUCGGGUUGUAAACUGCUUUUGUACGGAACGAAAAGCCUCUUUCUAAUAAAGAGGGGUCAUGACGGUACCGUAAGAAUAAGCACCGGCUAACUACGUGCCAGCAGCCGCGGUAAUACGUAGGGUGCAAGCGUUAAUCGGAAUUACUGGGCGUAAAGCGUGCGCAGGCGGUUUUGUAAGACAGAGGUGAAAUCCCCGGGCUCAACCUGGGAACUGCCUUUGUGACUGCAAGGCUGGAGUGCGGCAGAGGGGGAUGGAAUUCCGCGUGUAGCAGUGAAAUGCGUAGAUAUGCGGAGGAACACCGAUGGCGAAGGCAAUCCCCCGGGCCUGCACUGACGCUCAUGCACGAAAGCGUGGCGGAGCAAACAGGAUUCAGAUACCCUGGUAGUCCACGCCCUAAACGAUGUCAACUGGUUGUUGGGUCUUCACUGACUCAGUAACGAAGCUAACGCGUGAAGUUGACCGCCUGCGGAGUAC
RNAcentral lists this ribosomal RNA (533 nucleotides) under endosymbiont of Sphenophorus levis. RNAcentral's name for it is "bacterial SSU rRNA". It matches the Rfam family "Bacterial small subunit ribosomal RNA", at positions 359 to 883 of the family's 1533-position model. The record is from RNAcentral. Lineage: Bacteria; Pseudomonadati; Pseudomonadota; Gammaproteobacteria.